GACUCUCGGCAACGGAUAUCUCGGCUCUCGCAUCGAUGAAGAACGUAGCGAAAUGCGAUACUUGGUGUGAAUUGCAGAAUCCCGUGAACCAUCGAGUCUUUGAACGCAAGUUGCGCCCGAAGCCUUCGGGCCGAGGGCACGCCUGCCUGGGCGUCA
RNAcentral lists this ribosomal RNA (156 nucleotides) under Justicia adhatoda. RNAcentral's name for it is "5.8S ribosomal RNA". It matches the Rfam family "5.8S ribosomal RNA". From Rfam's summary of the family: 5.8S ribosomal RNA (5.8S rRNA) is a component of the large subunit of the eukaryotic ribosome. It is transcribed by RNA polymerase I as part of the 45S precursor that also contains 18S and 28S rRNA. Lineage: Eukaryota; Viridiplantae; Streptophyta; Magnoliopsida; Lamiales; Acanthaceae. The record is from RNAcentral.